CUGCCUCUGCCCCCUCGCCACCAGAAGUAGCUCGCGCGCGGUAGCAGCGUCCAGCCGCUGCCUUGCCUCUGCCCCCUCGCCACCAGAAGCAGCACGCGCGGCAGCAGCGUCCGCCAGCCGCUGCCUUGGAGCCCCGAAACAAAUCCGAUUUCUUGGUCGCAGAUACUGCAGAGGGCGAGAGGUUUGCUUUUGCUCCCUGGGACUCUCAAGGAGCACUCGUUCUAGGGUGAGGUCCUCAGAACAUGCUUUUCGUGCGACUCGUGGUCUUGAUUCUCUGAGUCAGAUCCCCUUCUUUCUUUGUUUAUGCUUAAUUAAUUUACUAGAUCUGCCUCGUGCGACGAGAGGAGCUAAGACGAGAGAAAAAGAUCAGGAAAAGGAUGUGAUGAUGGAUGAACCAAUUUAUUAUGCUUCAGUUUACUUUGUUCGAUUUUUUUCCUAAUUUUUUAAGUACUGUUUAUAGCAUCA
This 465-nucleotide unclassified non-coding RNA is filed under the name Zea mays. RNAcentral's name for it is "misc RNA Zm00001eb238810". The record is from RNAcentral. Lineage: Eukaryota; Viridiplantae; Streptophyta; Magnoliopsida; Poales; Poaceae.